RNAcentral lists this ribosomal RNA (361 nucleotides) under uncultured bacterium. RNAcentral describes it as "bacterial SSU rRNA". It matches the Rfam family "Bacterial small subunit ribosomal RNA", at positions 355 to 712 of the family's 1533-position model. The record is from RNAcentral.
UGAGGAAUAUUGGUCAAUGGGCGGAAGCCUGAACCAGCCAAGUCGCGUGCGGGUACGAAGGCCCUACGGGUCGCAGACCGCUUUUGCGCGGGGAUAACGGCCGCCUCUUGAGGCGGCGUGAAGGUACCGCGCGAAUAAGGAUCGGCUAACUCCGUGCCAGCAGCCGCGGUAAUACGGAGGAUCCGAGCGUUAUCCGGAUUCAUUGGGUUUAAAGGGUGCGCAGGCGGGCCUGCAAGCCCGCGGUGAAACCCCGGGGCUCAACCCCGGGCCUGCCGCGGGAACUGCCGGCCUUGAGUCGCGGCGAGGGCUGCGGAACGCGGGGUGUAGCGGUGAAAUGCUUAGAUACCCCGCAGAACUCCGA